AUUUGUGUUCCCUGGGUGGAAGGAGCAUGGGGAAAGGCAGAAUGUCAGGCUGAGGAAACAAUGUGUGCAAAGACAGAGGGACACAAAGUAGCAGUCAAGUUCAGGAAAUGACGAGAAGCUCCGCGUUAGGUGGGGCUCAGGCAAGAGGCAAGAGUUAAGACUAAGGAAAUAGCCAGAUAAGGAAGGGCUUAUAAACCACAUGAAGAAGUGUGGAUUUUAUUCUGAAGGCAGUGGGAAGCCACUAAAGAAGAGAAGAAAAGUAGUAGCAUACCAAUGUUGAUUUUAGAAGACGAGGCAGCAAAGAACCCAUGGUCAAGUGCAGCUCUCAGAGACAGUGAAAUGUAACCAGUGGUUACCCUAUUGUAAAUUGCAGACACCUUUGGACAAAUACAGCCUAUGAUUCUUCAAUAAGGAAAUGCAUUGAAAUGGGUGUUAAGAAGCAAGAUUCGUUUUGGGUUCUCCCCAGAUGAUCUUGGAGAAAGUCUGCUGCUGUGAAGGCUCAGCAGGGGCGGGAGAAUCCAAGAAGGAAGAAUUUAGCGUUGGUGCUCCCGCCACAUGGUCACACACCCUGCUACUGCUUUCUGCGUGGACUGCUGAGAUUCAAGGCAGCUGGAACCUGCUUGGUUCUCUUGACCCUUUGCAUCCUGGUGGGCUCUGAUGACGGAAAACGCUGCCUGCCUGCCUCUUCUCCUGGACUGACUCCCUAACGUCCUAAUGUCUGAGGGACAAAUCCUCGCGAUCUCUCGCCAAGGGAGCCCUCAGCCAGGACCCUGAAGGCCCACUGGUUGGCAAAGACAAAGCGAUACAUACCUGGUGUCUGAACAGCGAAGCUGUUUUCAAAGACCAGCUGAAUUGUAGCUCAGAAGAAAAAAAUGGAAAAGACAAGUAAACAUCCAGAAAUCUGGAAAGAAGAAAGAAAAUCUCAUGAAUGUAACUCUGACCUCAGCUGACUCAAAUAAAGGUGUUCAUUACCGAACGAUUAGAACCACCUACACAGGACAAAGUGAAUUUCUGAUCAACAGGUAGUAAUAGCAAACCCCCCUGAAAAGCUAAGAAGCAUUAGAGUGGAUUAUCCAUGAAGAGAGGAUUAGAAAAAGAGAGACUUGGAAUCCAGCAAACGAAACCCCAGCGGGCCAGCUGGCUAAUGUUUGGGAUAAUAAUUCCAAACGUAUUAAAAUAAAUUGUAAAAGAGAAAAGGCCGAAGGCAAUAAAAGCAAGCUUCACACGAUACUGUAUAUUGUGGAUAAAAUCAUGCACAUUCGCAAUAAUCACUUCCCCAGAGGCAAGCAAUACAGGCACCACCAGCAGAGCUGGGGAGAAUUUCAAGACACAAAGCCCGCUGUAUGCCAACAAGAGUUGCUGCAAGUGGGAGGACUUACAACAGAGUCUGCCUAAUAGCCACCGUUCUGGUCCGUUUUUUCCCUGUGGCCUGAGCACUGUCUCAUGCACGAUGUUGAAAUGGGAACGCAAUAGCAGGGUAGGCAACUUCACUCCUCCGCAGUCUUAAAUGCGGUAUUGCUCAAGGAUCUUAUUCCCCUAAGCAGGGAGAGAAAUGCCUUUUCUUUUUUCUCACUUAUGGAGUUUCUCCAGCGACACAGAUCAGCUCUUGUUGGUCUUGUUCACCUCAGCGAGUAGAAUUAAGAAGCUGACAGGAGCGUCGAGCCAUCCAUUUUUGUUUUUACCAUAUCCAGAGCCUGCCACCAUUUUUUAUCUCGAGUAUCUGCUAUUUUCUGGCCCGUUUGAGGUGGCCUUGUUACUUCUAGGAAAUCUGUAAAUGCUAUUUAUUGAAAUGCUCCCCAUAAUUUUUCCAUUUUUAGUUUAGGCCAAUGAAAUAUAACAACUGGCUUAAGCUAGGGGAAAAUCGUAGGGCUAAAUGUUUCUGUAAUUAUAGGCUCCUUCUUAAAUGUUUUUUUGUGAAGUCUGAAAUUCCUUUAUCCUUAAUUUUUGAGUAACUGAUGGAGUCCUUACUGAGGACUUCCCUUCCUGCGUUGAUUUGAGAGUGUGUGAUGAGUCCUCGGUUCAAGUUAGUACCGUUCAUCCAUCCAUUCCAUCUAAUUAUUAAGUACCUAACCCGCAGUGGGCACUGUUCAAGGUGAAAUGAGUACCAGAUGCAUAAAACAUGGUUCUAGUCUUCCAGCUUUUAUGGUUUAUCAGGGAAACAGACAUGCGAUGAGUAGUCAGAGCAAUGGUUUAAGAAAAAGAAUACAGGCUUUCAGAGAGUUCUACAGGAAAUCCAAAGAGAAAGCUCCUGAUUCUUUUUAACGAGGACUCAAAGAAAUCUCUGGAGACGAUUUGAACAUGAAUUAACCUCAAAGAAAGAGUAAGAAGCUAGAGGUCAAAGCUAUGCGGGGAAAGGACAUGCCAGGGAAAGAAGGAGAAGAAACGCAUGUGAAGAUUACCCCUAAGCUAACAUCUGCCACCAAUCCUCCUCUUUUUGCUAAGGAAGACUGGCCCUGAGCUAACAUCCAUGCCCAUCUUCCUCUACUUUAUUUGUGGGACACCUGCCACAGCAUGGCUUGACAAGUGGUGCAUAGGUCCACACCUGGGAUCCAAACUGGUGAACGCUGGGCCACUGAAGCGGAACACGCGACUUAACCGCUGAGCCAACAGGCUGGCCCCUUAUGUUAUUUUUAAUAUUGUUCUGGGUACAAUCUAGAGGAUUAUUUUGAUAAUCAGUAUAAAAUGUUUUUUGUUUCAAUGUACACAGAUAUGUGCUAUUUUUAUUUUUAGAAAGAAUUUUAUUUUUCAAUAAAAUUUGCAUAGAACUAUUAUGUAUGUCUA
Molecule: long non-coding RNA, 2781 nt
Organism: Equus caballus (horse)
Lineage: Eukaryota; Metazoa; Chordata; Mammalia; Perissodactyla; Equidae
Source: Ensembl